UACGUAGGGGGCGAGCGUUGUCCGGAAUUAUUGGGCGUAAAGAGCGUGUAGGCGGUUCGGUAAGUCUGUCGUGAAAUCCUGGGGCUCAACCCUGGGCGUGCGAUGGAUACUGCCGGGCUAGAGGGUGGUAGAGGCGAGUGGAAUUCCCGGUGUAGCGGUGAAAUGCGCAGAUAUCGGGAGGAACACCAGUAGCGAAGGCGGCUCGCUGGGCCACACCUGACGCUGAGGCACGAAAGCGUGGGUAGCAAACAGG
RNAcentral lists this ribosomal RNA (253 nucleotides) under uncultured bacterium. RNAcentral describes it as "partial 16S ribosomal RNA". It matches the Rfam family "Bacterial small subunit ribosomal RNA", at positions 524 to 776 of the family's 1533-position model. The record is from RNAcentral.